CCUACGGGGGGCAGCAGUGGGGAAUAUUGGACAAUGGGCGAAAGCCUGAUCCAGCCAUGCCGCGUGUGUGAAGAAGGCCUUCGGGUUGUAAAGCACUUUCAGUGGGGAAGAAAGCCUUGGGGCUAAUACCCUCGAGGAAGGACAUCACCCACAGAAGAAGCACCGGCUAACUCCGUGCCAGCAGCCGCGGUAAUACGGAGGGUGCGAGCGUUAAUCGGAAUUACUGGGCGUAAAGCGCGCGUAGGCGGUCUGAUAAGCCGGUUGUGAAAGCCCCGGGCUCAACCUGGGAACGGCAUCCGGAACUGUCAGGCUAGAGUGCAGGAGAGGAAGGUAGAAUUCCCGGUGGAGCGGUGAAAUGCGUAGGGAUCGGGAGGAAUACCAGUGGCGAAGGCGGCCUUCUGGACUGACACUGACGCUGAGGUGCGAAAGCGUGGGUAGCAAACAGGAUUAGAUACCCUUGUAGUC
This 465-nucleotide ribosomal RNA is filed under the name Vreelandella stevensii. RNAcentral's name for it is "partial 16S ribosomal RNA". It matches the Rfam family "Bacterial small subunit ribosomal RNA", at positions 338 to 795 of the family's 1533-position model. The record is from RNAcentral. Lineage: Bacteria; Pseudomonadati; Pseudomonadota; Gammaproteobacteria; Oceanospirillales; Halomonadaceae.